UACGGAGGGGGCUAGCGUUGUUCGGAGUUACUGGGCGUAAAGGGUGUGUAGGCGGUUGUUUAAGUUUGGUGUGAAAUCUCCCGGCUCAACUGGGAGGGUGCGCCGAAUACUGAAUGACUAGAGUGCGGGAGAGGUGAGUGGAAUUCCUGGUGUAGCGGUGAAAUGCGUAGAUAUUCGCAAGAACACCAGUGGCGAAGGCGGCUCACUGGCCCGGUACUGACGCUGAGGUGCGAAAGCGUGGGGAGCAAACAGG
Molecule: ribosomal RNA, 253 nt
Filed under: uncultured bacterium
Lineage: Bacteria
Description: partial 16S ribosomal RNA
Rfam family: Bacterial small subunit ribosomal RNA
Source: RNAcentral